GGGCUUAUGGCGCAACGGUAGCGCGUUCGACUCCAGCUACCACAAGUGCAAUCGAAAGGUUAUCCGUUCAAAUCGGGUUAGGCUCA
Dichotomopilus funicola is the source of this 86-nucleotide non-coding RNA. The record is from the annotation of a RefSeq genome assembly. NCBI's taxonomy places the organism in Eukaryota, Fungi, Ascomycota, Sordariomycetes, Sordariales, Chaetomiaceae.